CUUGCUCUUAUGAAGUUAGCGGCGGACGGGUGAGUAACACGUGGGUAACCUGCCCAUAAGACUGGGAUAACUCCGGGAAACCGGGGCUAAUACCGGAUAACAUUUUGAACCGCAUGGUUCGAAAUUGAAAGGCGGCUUCGGCUGUCACUUAUGGAUGGACCCGCGUCGCAUUAGCUAGUUGGUGAGGUAACGGCUCACCAAGGCAACGAUGCGUAGCCGACCUGAGAGGGUGAUCGGCCACACUGGGACUGAGACACGGCCCAGACUCCUACGGGAGGCAGCAGUAGGGAAUCUUCCGCAAUGGACGAAAGUCUGACGGAGCAACGCCGCGUGAGUGAUGAAGGCUUUCGGGUCGUAAAACUCUGUUGUUAGGGAAGAACAAGUGCUAGUUGAAUAAGCUGGCACCUUGACGGUACCUAACCAGAAAGCCACGGCUAACUACGUGCCAGCAGCCGCGGUAAUACGUAGGUGGCAAGCGUUAUCCGGAAUUAUUGGGCGUAGAGCGCGCGCAGGUGGUUUCUUAAGUCUGAUGUGAAGCCCACGGCUCAACCGUGGGAGGGUCAUUGGAAACUGGGAGACUUGAGUGCAGAAGAGGAAAGUGGAAUUCCAUGUGUAGCGGUGAAAUGCGUAGAGAUAUGGAGGAACACCAGUGGCGAAAGCGACUUUCUGGUCUGUA
This 676-nucleotide ribosomal RNA is filed under the name Bacillus cereus. RNAcentral's name for it is "bacterial SSU rRNA". It matches the Rfam family "Bacterial small subunit ribosomal RNA", at positions 75 to 738 of the family's 1533-position model. The record is from RNAcentral. Lineage: Bacteria; Bacillati; Bacillota; Bacilli; Caryophanales; Bacillaceae.